AAUAGACCUUAGGUUAAAUUUUAUUAUGUGAUCAAUUAAAUUAAAUGUGAGAGACAUUUAAAUUAAUUAAUUAAUGUUAAGUUUGGUGAUUAAAACUUAAUAAGAGUGAAAAAUGUGUCAAAAGCCAAUUUGGACUUUUCUUCUUAUGAAACCUUUAUUAACCUUUAUAAAAAAAUAAAAAAAAAUUAUGAUCACAUAUAUGGCAAAGGGUGGCCAGCCAUGUGCUAUUUUAGAGUGGUGUGAACCCAAUUUUAUAAAGUUUAACUCCCAUUUAAUUAAGAAGUCAAGUGGGCAAGUGGGUAGAAAAGCACUCAAGUGUUUUGUGAUAUUUUGAAGAGUUGUGUGAGCCAUUCUAACCCCCAAAUCCGACCACUCUCCCUCCCUCAUUCACUCUCAUCUGAUUUUUAAAGACUCUCUCAAGUGUUCUCUCCAUUUUCAACCCCAAGAACACCAAAGAAACUUGGAAGCUAAGUCUUGGUCUAGGAAGGGUUUUCCCUAAGGUAAAGUUUCAUUAAUCUAGACUUUUGUCAAGUUUUAAUCAUAGAGUUUCAAAUAGCUAAUUACCUAUGUUGUUGGGGGAAGUUGGUUAGGGUUUUUGAAAGGUUUUGGAGGAGCCAAAGCUAAUAGGAAGGUCAAAACCUUAAGCAAGAACACCAAAGAGGUAAGAGCAAGGGCAAGGCAGAGCAGUGAGCGCUGGAGUCUUCCUUGCAAAUGUACAUGUGGACCGACCUUUUGGGAAGCCUUUUUAUUUUUGGAAAUGUUGUGUAAUUUUCCUAAACUAGGCUCACUCUAAUCUUUAUAAAACAUGUUUGUAACUAAAUGUUAAGUAUGGCCAUACGACUUUUCAAAAAGUUUUUUUUAUGGGUUUUUGAGACAUUUUGUUAAAUGAAAACAUUUAUAUUUCCGCAUUAUCGAGUCUUGAAAAUCCGGGUCGUUACAGCAACAAAGGCCAGGAUCGGCAAAAGACGCGAGUGCCAAAGGCCGGGAUUGGCAUUAAGCAUGCUGAAUGGAGGCCGCCAAGGCGAGAACCUCUAAGGGUGUUGUACUCACCCGCUCGAGUAAGACUGUGAACUUGGUGCCUGGUAAGGCCAAGGAAAAGGUCGAUCAACCAUGAGUUGGAGGGCAUGGAGCGGUAUGUACAUGUUUGGCCUACCUGGCCACCAUGACUGGGGUAGUUUUGAGGAACGUUGUGGAAAUGAUUGAUUUUGUCACCUAGAUCGACUGUAUAAAGACUUUUGAGUUGUAAAUAUGUCCUAAAUAACAUUUUGGGAUCUCAUGUAACUUUUCAAUAAUUUUAAUGAAUGGUUAA
Humulus lupulus (European hop) is the source of this 1309-nucleotide long non-coding RNA. RefSeq lists it as uncharacterized. The transcript is spliced from 3 exons. The record is from RefSeq and is a predicted model, not a curated record. NCBI's taxonomy places the organism in Eukaryota, Viridiplantae, Streptophyta, Magnoliopsida, Rosales, Cannabaceae.